GACCCAAACUUUUCUAUCGGGAUUUUCCCCUAUCGGGAUCGCCUCGAGCUGCUCGGCCGGCGAACCCCGUUCUUCCUCCUCCCGUUGGUCCAGCUUGUCGAUCGUCAGAGAACCCUCCGUCUCGUCGCUUUGAGCGGAGAUUUGGAAGCAUCGUCGGGCGAGCUGUUGGUCUCCGCGCAUCUCUCCGACUCCAUUUUUGAUCGGGAAUCGAACAAGGAGAUGGUACGUCGAGACGAUCGCCUUGAGGGCGUUCAGUCCGGGUCGUCCAAGUAUGGCGUUGUAGGCCGAAGGAACUCGGACGACCGCGAAAGUGAGGGAGACCGUUCUUUGCCGUGGUUCGGUGCCGACCGUCACGGGCAGGGUGAUU
Molecule: long non-coding RNA, 367 nt
Filed under: Elaeis guineensis (African oil palm)
Lineage: Eukaryota; Viridiplantae; Streptophyta; Magnoliopsida; Arecales; Arecaceae
Description: long non-coding RNA (EGUI_LNC076529)
Source: RNAcentral